This 429-nucleotide ribosomal RNA is filed under the name Acidobacteriota bacterium. RNAcentral's name for it is "Acidobacteria bacterium partial 16S ribosomal RNA". It matches the Rfam family "Bacterial small subunit ribosomal RNA", at positions 355 to 776 of the family's 1533-position model. The record is from RNAcentral. Lineage: Bacteria; Pseudomonadati; Acidobacteriota.
UGGGGAAUUUUGGACAAUGGGGGAAACCCUGAUCCAGCCAUCCCGCGUGUGCGAUGAAGGCCUUCGGGUUGUAAAGCACUUUUGGCAGGAAAGAAAAGUCAUGGGUUAAUACCCCGUGAAACUGACGGUACCUGCAGAAUAAGCACCGGCUAACUACGUGCCAGCAGCCGCGGUAAUACGUAGGGUGCAAGCGUUAAUCGGAAUUACUGGGCGUAAAGCGUGCGCAGGCGGUUCGGAAAGAAAGAUGUGAAAUCCCAGAGCUCAACUUUGGAACUGCAUUUUUAACUACCGGGCUAGAGUGUGUCAGAGGGAGGUGGAAUUCCGCGUGUAGCAGUGAAAUGCGUAGAUAUGCGGAGGAACACCGAUGGCGAAGGCAGCCUCCUGGGAUAACACUGACGCUCAUGCACGAAAGCGUGGGGAGCAAACAGG